This 925-nucleotide ribosomal RNA is filed under the name uncultured Pseudomonadota bacterium. RNAcentral's name for it is "bacterial SSU rRNA". It matches the Rfam family "Bacterial small subunit ribosomal RNA", at positions 58 to 1018 of the family's 1533-position model. Lineage: Bacteria; Pseudomonadati; Pseudomonadota. The record is from RNAcentral.
CAAGUCGAGCGGUAAGGCUCCUUCGGGAGUACACGAGCGGCGGACGGCUGAGUAACGCGUAGGAACGUACCCCAAAGUGAGGGAUAAGCACCAGAAAUGGUGUCUAAUACCGCAUGUGGUCUUCGGAUUAAAGCUUUAUGCGCUUUGGGAACGGCCUGCGUAAGAUUAGCUUGUUGGUGAGGUAAUAGCUCACCAAGGCGAUGAUCUUUAGCUGGUCUGAGAGGAUGAUCAGCCAGACUGGGACUGAGACACGGCCCAGACUCCUACGGGAGGCAGCAGUAGGGAAUUUUCCACAAUGGGCGAAAGCCUGAUGGAGCAACGCCGCGUGCAGGAUGAAACCCUUCGGGGCGUAAACUGCUUUUAUAUGUGACGAAUAUGACGGUAGCAUAUGAAUAAGGAUCGGCUAACUCCGUGCCAGCAGCCGCGGUCAUACGGAGGAUCCAAGCGUUAUCCGGAAUUACUGGGCGUAAAGAGUUGCGUAGGUGGCAUUGUAAGCGAGUAGUGAAAGCGUUCGGCUCAACCGAAUAUACAUUACCCGAACUGCAAAGCUAGAGGAUGAGGGAGGUUAUUGGAAUUCCCUGUGUAGGAGUGAAAUCCGUAGAUAUAGGGAGGAACACCGAUGGCGUAGGCAGAUAACUGGCUCAUUCCUGACACUAAGGCACGAAAGCGUGGGGAGCAAACGGGAUUAGAUACCCCGGUAGUCCACGCCGUAAACUAUGGAUGCUAGCUGUUAGAGGUAUCGACCCCUCUAGUAGCGAAGCUAACGCGUUAAGCAUCCCGCCUGUGGAGUACGGUCGCAAGACUAAAACAUAAAGGAAUUGACGGGGACCCGCACAAGCGGUGGAGCGUGUUGUUUAAUUCGAUGGUAAGCGAAGAACCUUACCCAGGCUUGACAUCCUUGGAAUUCUCCGAAGGAGAGAGUGCU